This 5213-nucleotide long non-coding RNA is filed under the name Nicotiana tabacum (common tobacco). RNAcentral's name for it is "long non-coding RNA (NTAB_LNC016440)". The record is from RNAcentral. Lineage: Eukaryota; Viridiplantae; Streptophyta; Magnoliopsida; Solanales; Solanaceae.
UUCUACCCCCUGAUGGUUGCAACAAUUGAACUUUUGGAAUUGGAUAGAUGGUGGAACUUUCUUUUGCCGUUGGUGAGUGCAGUCUGUUGUCUUACCAUUUUCUAUACCAUAAAGGAAAGACAUAGGAGUACAUCAAAGCCUUUAUAGGAAUACUGGAACAUAUUAUUAAUCUAUUAUAUGUGCAGGAAACUCGUUCUCACCAUUUCUCUUUUCGGUAACAUCUCUGCUCCGUUCCCUGAACAGUGUUAUCAAAGGCGAAAAGCGCAAAAAAGCUCUAAGGUCUAUUGGGGCUUUAAGCGCAAAGCGGAGAUAAAGCAUGGGCUUUAAUGAAAAAAGGCGCAACUAGAGAAAAAGUAAAAAUAUGUAUAUGUAAUCCAAAACCAAUAAUCAUAAGCAUAAAUAACAAAUAUAUGGACAAAGAAAUUGAAAAAAAUUUACGACAAAGUGAAAUAUCAAUUGCUUAGUGUCGCCUUUUCAGGAUCACAUUCAUUGGCAAGGAAAAGUAUGCCUUAGAGCCUUGAUGCGACAUUGAAGCGCUCGCAAAGCUAGGCGAAGUGCUCAACCUGUUUUGAGCCUCGCUUCAGGGCUUAAGCGCGCGUUUGACAACACUGUCCCUGAACUGUUUAGUAUUGCUUUUGCCUCACCUUUAAUGUGUGAGUGUGGGAUGUAAUCUUAUUUAUUUUUACUGUAAUACUUUCAAGUUUGACAAAUAUUGCAUGUAAUAGGUACAACAAGGUGAUGUUGGUGGAAGUGAUGAAGUUCAUGAAGUGCAAUUCAAUAUAAAAAGGACAGACAUGUCCAAUGGCAUGCUGAAACAAAUGAGAGCCUCAAAAACAACAUUGUUCAGAAGGCUGUUAUUACCUCUUCACUGCUUUCUCUUUUAAAUAUCUCAAGAGCUUGGAUAUGUGUGGGCUCAUCGUAUUUCAAAGCUUAGAUAGAAAGAAAGAGGUCGUGUUGUUCUGAGAUGGAAAAACAUUCAUACUGACAGCAGAGCUAUGAUUUCCUCCUUAAUACUUCUGUAAACUAUAUGCAUAGCUGAAUGGGUUGAGGAAUGUGUUAGAUUUGCUCAUUCGCAGUUGUUAACACGGGGAUAAAUUGUUCAUGAACACGUUUUUGUAAGUAGCUAUUUUUUGUAACAGGUCAUUUUUCAUGUAAUACGUGUUAGUAUUCGAUUGAAUUUUUGGAGGAGAAUAAGUUGAGGUUUAAUAGUUCUUUUAAGAGAAAUGAGUCAGGGUGAUGCAAUACAGUUGUGGCUGCUCAGUUUCUUUGCUUGACAACAAAGAGAGUACUUCGUUUGCAUUACCAAAAACCUACUUAUAUUGGUUUUGUAAAGUUUUUGCCUUAAAGUUUUAGUAGAAAAUUGUCCCUCUGCAGUUUGACAUUACCAAAAUCAAUGGCUUCCUGAGGCCUCCUUUUGAUCUCUAUUCUCCAUUUGCUAAUCAUGAAAUGAAGUUGCAAUGCAUGUAAUAGAACUUUUGAUGCCAGCAGACUGAAUUCAAUUUCCUAUUUUGUUUUGCUACACUUUCUUGAUCGCGAUCAGGGGAGAUAUUGAGCAGUAUUUCUCUGCAAGUUGUCCAUUAUUCGAUGCCUCAUAUUGCAGAAGUGAUCCUGAGAUUUAAAGCUGAAAACCUUUUAAGGUUGGAACUCAGUCUACAAUUUGAAUUGGGGUGAUGAUGACUUGGUUCUAACAUUGAUCUUUUUUUUUUUUUAGUUCUGCAUUUGCUACGUUAAAAAGUUAAGAUAGGAUAGUGGAGAAUCAACUAUUCUAUCUAGAGACAAGAAAAGGAUGAGAGCGUAAACAAAAGGAAAUAGAAAAGCAGGAAAGUGUAAACAAAAGGAAAACCAACAAGUUGGCACAAAUGGCUUAGCGAAUUUUACAUUUCUAUACACUAUUUCAAUCUUUAUUACCCCCUACUCAAAUUUUAAUAUAAUUAUAUAUUAUAUACCCAGUUACCAAUUAUGUACAUUUUUAGGCAUUUAAUGAUAAUAAUUAGUGUCCUAAGAUCACUCUAACGCCACUCCCCCACGUUUCUCUCUCCACAAACCUUCCGUAUCUUGCACUCACCCACGUUUCUCUCUCCACAAACUUCAGUAUCCUUCCAUUAACGCCUAUUUCCACUCUUCUUCAAAAAUCCGUCUAUAUUUUAUCCUUCUUCUUCAAAAAUCCCUCUCCAUUUUUAUAGAUUCAAGCUCUAAAUACUCUACCACACACCUCCAUUAACGUAUGUUGCUUGCUUAACUUUCAAUGAAGAAGAAAACACUUUCGAAGACCAGCCCUAAUUCCAGUAAGAGAGCAGCAAUUUCACCAAUGACAGCCAUUAAAAAGCUUGGAAGCUUUGAAUUCGAAUUUGGGUUUUUUAAAAACCUAUUAUUUGUUUGGAUUGAGUAUUGUUGCAAACAAUUGGGAAUAUUGUUUGGAGUUUAUAUCUCAUUUUUUAGGGUGUUUUGGUGAAUAUUAAACUUGAUUUUGGUUGAAUUUCAGAUUGAAACUCGAAGAAGAAGAAGACAUGACAUACAUUAUACUUACGAAAUUGUAGUAAAGUUGUAGUAAAAUUAUAGAAAAANNNNNNNNNNNNNNNNNNNNNNNNNNNNNNNNNNNNNNNNNNNNNNNNNNNNNNNNNNNNNNNNNNNNNNNNNNNNNNNNNNNNNNNNNNNNNNNNNNNNNNNNNNNNNNNNNNNNNNNAAGCUUUGAAUUCGAAUUUGAAUUUUUAAAAACCAUUAUUUGUUUGGAUUAGGUGUUGUUUCAAACGAUUGGGAAUAUUGUUUAGAGUUUAUAUCUCAUUUUUAUAGUGCUUUGGUAAAGAUUAGACUUGAUUUUGGCUGAAUUUCAGAUUGAAAUUCGAAGAAGAAGAAGAAGAAGAAGAAGAAGAAGAAGAAGAAGAAGAAGAAGAAGACAUGGAAUACAUUAUACUUACGAAAUUGUAGUAAAGUUGUAGUAAAAUUGUAGAAAAAUUAUAUUUUGUUGUUUACAUAUAUUUUUUUUUUAAAUAUUGUAUGAAAGUUGAACAAUAUUGUAUAAAAAUUGUAUUUAAGUUGUAUGAUAUUGUAGUUGUAUAUAACUGGGUAGAAAUAACAUAUGAAAGUUGUAGAUAGGUUAUAUAAUAUAUAAUUAGUUGUAUGAAAUUUAUUUUUACUAUGUAUAAAUUAGAUACAAAAUAUACAAAAGACAUAUUGUAUAAAAAUUAUAUUUUAGUUGUAUGAUAUUGUAGUUAUAUUUAACUAUGUAGAAAUAAUGUAUGAAAAUUGUAGAUAAGUUGUAGAUUAGUUGUGCUUUUACAUUGUGCUUUUAAGCUCUUUGCCUAAACGUGUUAAAACUGUUUAAAACAUUACUUAAUUUCAUGAAAUACUUUGCAACUUAAUUGAGAUCGAUUUCUCAUAAAAUGUAAACUUACCUAUCUUCAGCAUUACAUGCCAGAAGGAUUCCAUCUAAUUUUGCAGGAAAAAGUAUAACCAUUGUUGAGUAUGAUUUGUAAAAUAAUGCCCUCGAGAUAUAUUCUAUCCAACUAGGGCUGUCCUAUUAAUUAUUACUCCUACCUAAAGAAAGUGAAAAGCAUAGGAUAUAAUUCUUUGAAAAUGGGUGCCCUUCUAAUUUUGUAUUUUGAAUAGCAACUUCAACAAGUUCUUAAUUGGAUAAUAAUUAAAUAGACUUGAUGGACAGGGAAUAGAGUCUGAUUCCCUUUUAAGGAUUUAAAUUAGAAUUUUGGUUUUAUCCUGAAUCCUGAUAAAAAGAACUUGUAAAAAGUUGUCCCCAAAUAUUAACCUAAUCUUCCUGUUAAUUAUAGAGGAAUUCUUACUAAAUUCCAACGUAAAACUGAAGGGUUAAAAAGAAGAAUAAGAAUAAGAAAAAGGAUCAGAAGAAAUAACACAAAAUUGUAAGUACUAUUAAGACAUGGUUACGUGAUCAACCAGAUGAAAGAGUUGUCCACUGACUUGAUCACUAAAUUGCUACAAGGGUGGAAGAUCCGGAGAGAAAAGGGGAAAGAGGAAAGAAAAAAGGAAAAAAGUAUAACUAAAUCCAUUGAUUGAAGACACUAAUAAUGAAUUGGGAGCCUUUUAAGGUGGAAUGUAUAUAUUUUGUAAAUAAAACUUGUUUAGGUCGGGUAAUUAACUAAACGUGGACAUUUUUGAUAAUAAAAUUUCAUAUAGUGUAUAGAAAGGUAAAAAUCCCUAUACUUUUUUUCUUCUUAGUGGGCCGUUAGAAGGAAAUUUUAGGAAUAAAUGCGGGAAAAUGACAUUGUACGCUUUCAAAAUAAUAGCGUAAAGAGAAAUAUUUUUUUGUUUAUAUAUAUAUAUAAAUAUAAAUAAUUUUUGGUGCGGGCUAAAAGUGAUAAUACAAAUAAAUGCUAGAAACGUCAUUAUCUAAGUACAACAAUCGCCACCCUUUCCUUUAAUUAAUACUCUAUUAGUUUAAAUAUUACAAAUGUGUCAGUCCUUGGUUUUAAAACUAAUGAGUCCUUUUUGUUUUAGUUUUUUUUAUAUUUUAUUUUUGAUAACAUGCUCUUAUAGUUAUAAUAAUAUUAUAAUAUUUAAAAUCACAUGUUUUAAAAGCUUUUUUUCCUUAAAUUUUGUGCCAAGGUACAUAAAUAAAAUGAAAUGGAGAAAGUAGUAGUAGAUGAUGUUUUAUUUUCUUUUUUAAGGGAAAGGAAAAAAUGGAUUGCAUGAAAGGAGAUGUCAAACUUGACAAUGUGAAGAUGGGGACGGACGUUGAGAUAUUUGUCGAAAAACAUUACUUUGUACGCAAUUUAAAGAUGUUUGUCCAAUUUAAUAUCCACAUACAAGUUAGAACCUUAAAGAAUUCAGUGGCGUAGAAUAUUGGUAAAUAUCAAAUAAUUAGGCUAAAAAAAACCCCCACAUUUCCCAUCAACAGAAUUUAUGCUAUGACCAUUCGACUUUUGCAAAUAUGGAUUAAAUGGACCCAUUUGAUUCUGGAACCUGGAUUUGGAUAACAUUUCAAAAACCUUUCCUUGUGUAUGUGGCAAGCCAAUCCUUAAUACUUACUAGGAUAACACUUUUAUUUUGGGAGGACUACAUUUUCUUUGGUUUGGAGUUGAAAUAUUUAUUUUUCUCUUCUGCCCUCAAUUUUUUCUACCAGCACAAAGAAGAGCGUAUACCUUUAAUAUCAAUACGCGAAUAUGUUGGGCGUGCGAACAAAGUCCCACAUUAGUAGUUAAAAAGAUUGAGAGACUACAUGUAAGGUGUAGACUUUUUUUUAA